Acanthosepion pharaonis is the source of this 109-nucleotide non-coding RNA. The record is from the annotation of a GenBank genome assembly. NCBI's taxonomy places the organism in Eukaryota, Metazoa, Mollusca, Cephalopoda, Sepiida, Sepiidae.
ACCACAUCAUGUUGAAACACCGGUUACCAUACGAUCACCAAAGUUAAGCCACAUCAAGCUUAGUCAGUAUCUAAAUGGGUGAUCAUUUGGGAAUACCAAGUACUGUAAG